Molecule: ribosomal RNA, 440 nt
Filed under: uncultured bacterium
Lineage: Bacteria
Description: partial 16S ribosomal RNA
Rfam family: Bacterial small subunit ribosomal RNA
Source: RNAcentral
CCUACGGGUGACAGCAGUGGGGAAUAUUGCACAAUGGGCGGAAGCUUGAUGCAGCAACGCCGCGUGGGUGAAGAAGUCCUCCGGUUUGUAAAGUCCUGUCAGCAGGGAAGAAAAUGACGUUACCUGUCCAAGAAGCCCCGGCUAACUCCGUGCCAGCCGCCGCGGUAAUACGGAGGGGGCAAGCGUUCUCCGGAUUUACGGGGUGUAAAGGGUGCGUAGACGGCAAGGCAAGUCAGGAGUGAAAGCCCGUGGCCCAACCACGGGACUGCUGUGGAUACUGGAUGGAUGGAGUGCAGUAGGGGUAAGCGGAAUUCCUGGUGUAGCGGUGAAAUGCGUAGAUAUUAGGAGGAACACCGGUGGCGAAGGCGGCUUACUGGACUGUAAUUGACGUUGAGGCUCGAAGGCGAGGGGAGCAAACAGGAUUAGAUACCCGUGUAGUC